This 257-nucleotide long non-coding RNA is filed under the name Neodiprion pinetum (white pine sawfly). RNAcentral's name for it is "uncharacterized LOC124218036". Lineage: Eukaryota; Metazoa; Arthropoda; Insecta; Hymenoptera; Diprionidae. The record is from RNAcentral.
CCGCUCCAAAGGUGCACAACAUGAUGAGAUUUUACAAUUAAAAAAUCCUCCCUACUGUUCAGGAUAAAAAUACGGAAAUCUGAAUAAGAAUCUAGACGCAGGAUACUUAGAGGGUUAUAAAUGGUAAAACUACGAGGGUGAUACAGGGACUCCACAAUACUGAUUUCAUGUUAUAAGAUGCUGGAUGUAUUUUUUACCCAUUUCGGAUCGAGGCUUUGGAGGUCUUAUCACUUUCGGUAAUGUUAGUACCAGUUUCU